AGAUUGAACGCUGGCGGCAUGCCUAACACGUGCAAGUCGAGCGGCAGCGCGGGGGCGACCCUGGCGGCGAGCGGCGGACGGGUGAGUAAUGCAUCGGAACGUAUCCUUGAGUGGGGGAUAACGCAGCGAAAGUUGUGCUAAUACCGCAUAAGCUCUGAGGAGGAAAGCGGGGGACCGAAAGGCCUCGCGCUGAAGGAGCGGCCGAUGUCCGAUUAGCUAGUUGGUGAGGUAAAGGCUUACCAAGGCGACGAUCGGUAGCUGGUCUGAGAGGAUGAUCAGCCACACUGGGACUGAGACACGGCCCAGACUCCUACGGGAGGCAGC
Molecule: ribosomal RNA, 324 nt
Filed under: uncultured prokaryote
Description: bacterial SSU rRNA
Rfam family: Bacterial small subunit ribosomal RNA
Source: RNAcentral